RNAcentral lists this long non-coding RNA (28292 nucleotides) under Coffea arabica (coffee). RNAcentral's name for it is "long non-coding RNA (CARA_LNC001460)". The stretch from base 22183 to 22254 matches the Rfam family "tRNA". The record is from RNAcentral. Lineage: Eukaryota; Viridiplantae; Streptophyta; Magnoliopsida; Gentianales; Rubiaceae.
UUUUUUUUUUUUUUUUUUUUGGCAUGCUUCUUCCAAAUGGAUUAAAUUAGUUGCCCAUUAUUAGCUCUGCCAAGAUAGUGCAACUUUUCUCAAGUAUUCUACAUUAUAUUUUUUUUUAUUUCAAAAAAUAUAUUGUAAGUUCCAAAAAAAGAAAAGAAAAGAAAAUAAAAGAGACAAUAUAUACCUUCCGGCUUCCACAUAGGUUUGAAUUUGCAGAUAGAAUGAUGGGAUUGAGACGCUUUCGUUUUUGUCCUUCAAUAUCUUCGUGCAGCAUUAAAUAAAAUAUGUACGUAGUUGGUGUCACUUUUUUCACAGAAGUGGAAUUUCUAUUUGAAGAAAGUGUAUACAAUUUCUAAAAAUUUCAUAUAUAUAUAUAUAUAUAUAUAUAAAGAUCAAAGAGUUUCUUCCCUUCCCGGCUGGCCGGCUAUCAGCCAGAAAACACGCAAAUUGGAUUCGUAAAAGAAGAUGCAUGACCUUUGAGGGUUAGGCGGUGAGACGGAGGUUUUGAUUUUCUUUGUAUUGCUAUUUCUUUUCUUUUUUUUUUUUUUCUCUGGAAAGCCUCAUGGAUUCGGAUUAACAUUCUGAGGUGGCAUGAUUUCUGGGCAACUGAUCACCCUUUUUCCUGUCUUUAGCUACAAAAUGCACGUGGUGCGUAGCAGACAACGUUUCAUGUCGAAGCAACUAAAAAUGUUUGGUAACUAUAAAUAAAAAAAAAAAAAAAUUUUGUUUUUGGUUGGAUGAUUGGAAGGCAAGUAGCUAGCUAAUCUAAUUUGUUCACCAUUAUCAUUUCCCAACAAUUUAUUUUAUUGUCGAAUAGCUACUCAACUUUGUCAUUUGUCGGUGGAGCACGUCAUCCCACCUCUGACCUCACCGCGACCACCCCUUUUUAAUUUCUUUAUAGUAAAACCUCAGGGAGGGCUUUUCCAUAUUUUGAGACCAAAACUUUUGUUUGGCACUUGAGUUUUUUUGCUAAGUUUGUUUGUUACAAAUUUUUUAAAAACUUUAACUACAGUAAUCUCAAAAAAUUUAUCAAAGUUUUUAAAUUAUACACUUCAAAAUAUUCGAAAAAAAACACGCUUCAAAUUUUUUUUAAAAAACUUCUACAGUAAGUUACGGUAAAGUUUUAAACAAACACUCAAAAAACUCACUUGUCAAACGGGGCGUUGAAGUUCGCCGCGUAAUUUUGGAUUGUGAUUUUUUUGAUAGAAUGAAUUCAACACUUUUUUAAAAAAAAUUUAUUUCCAAACACUUAGAAAGCUUCACGAAAGAAAGUACAACUAGACAAAAAAAAAAAAAGAAGGUACAACAGCGACACUUGCAAAAAAAUAUUUGUAAUGAUUAAUGAACCUGAAUUUCAGGGCCCCUGCAGGAGUUAGUUGCAUGCUCAAAUCUCAUUUAUAUUUCUUUUUGGCAUGUCCGCCCACUCAUGGCCACGACCCUUUCCUGGGAUUUUUCACAGUAUCUUUUCCUAUGCCUUUUUAAUAUCUUAAUUAAUUAACUUGGCGAAGCAUUUUGUGUGGGUCAAAUAAAAUAAUUUAAAAAAAUAAUUUUUUUUUUUUUUAAUUGUGGGUGGGUCACUUGGUCCCGCCCAUGCCCUAUCGACAGUCACUGCAGAUAAGUGUGGGACAUCGAUGAUCUACCCACUUCAAUUAAUUUAACAAAUUGAAUUGAAUCCUUUCUUCUUCUUCUUCCUUUUUUUUUAAAAAAAAAAAAGAAAAAAAUUGGGAACAAGAAGACCAGUGAUCAAUUGGUUUCGGGAUUCCUAGGCGUUGUUCUUCUCUUCUUAAUUUCUGAGCUUCUCCAUAGAUAGUUGCAAUCAUAAAGAUACUAAUAAUUACGGGGAAUUUCGAACCCAGGGGCACAGGAUUUAGCAAAAUUAAGGGCUCGAGGGACGUCUAGAUUUUUUAAACCAGUAUCACUAAUCCAACUCAAAUACGACACGCAGAUUCUGUAGAGAACUAACUAUUCCCACUCUUUUUUUUUUUGGGUUUGGUUUUUCCUGGAAUGGUGGAAAGAAAUGUUUCUAUGUACCUAAAUUAAUGAGAUGUACUAAAUUUUAGUGGAACUCGGAAAGAAUAGUAUUGAUACUAAUAAUUACGCCGGGGACAACCUAAGAAAAGAACAAAAAGGAGAAAGGGAUCCAUAGUUGUGGAACAUAUACUACUUAUGUAAAUUUUUUUUUUCUUUUUGUCAAUCGUCACUCUUUAUCUAUAUUCCAUUGUAUCAUAAUCUAACUAAGGGGAGGUCUAACUAGACUUACAGGGGAUCGAUUGAGACAUAACCACCAUCGGAUCAGACGGGUGCACUACGCAUCCAUCUGAAUUUUUUUAAGAAUCACAUAAUGUGACAAUUGGUGGGAGGCAAAUUUUGACCCUUGUCGCUUGGUGGGGGCCAUCAGCCUAUAGUCUUCGUUAAUUAGUAAAUAUUCAUUAUUAUUCCUUUGAUCAUGUUUGCAUUGGCUAAGUUGGUCAAGGAAACGAGCGAAAAGGCGCAGCAGCAUGGGUCAACACAGGAAUCUCAACUUCUGACGGAAUUACCAUGCAAGAUGAAUCAAUCCUUUCUUUCUUCUUUUUUUUUUUUUUCAAAUAAUAGACGCAAAUCGCUAAUUAAGUUAACUGAACAUUUGCAUCAGAGGUAGCUUAUUUCAAUAACCCCACGGAUUUAAUGCACCAAAUUGCGAUGUUGUUGAUCCUAUGCAGGUACUUGGAUAAAAUGAUUCUUUUUUUUUUGUGGUAAUUUUUGGGUCCGGUGAAUUGGGCCAGUUUAAAAUCCAUCCUCUAGCUGGAGCUUUUGAUUUCUGGACCCUCUUGGAAUGGCGGUGGCGUAGGCUGAUGGAUUUUCGUAAGUUCAUGGAACAGGCUUUCCUGAAAGCCUGGGGAAAAAAGGUUCAAGUUGGUCCUUGUUCUAUGGUUCGAACAGAUCUGUUCAAGAGGACUCUGGCCCGGAGUGGCUGGGGAAUGCGGUUUGGAUAGAAGGACUUUAGGCUCACAGGCCCACUUCUUUUACAUAUAUCGCCCGUUAACAUUAUGGCAAUGUCAAAAAAUUUAUUAAAUUACGGCAAUGCGCAAAUGUCGAGUAAUUAUUCAACCAGAAAAAAAAAAGUCGAGUACUUAACUAAAUUAGUAAUCAUUGACAUUGUUGCCCAUACACCAUAAAAGGACCUCUACAUAUAUUUGUAGUGCACUUAGCGAUAUGGCAUCAAAUUUGUGACUGAAUUGGUUAGCACGAGUUAUUUUCUUAUAAAAGGUCGCGUGCUGUAAAGAAAUUUUUAUAAGCGAUCUAUGAUUUUGAAAACAUAUGCCCUGAUCCCAUUGUAGUUACUGAAGCCGAGAACUCACUUAUGCUUGAUAGUUACCCCAAAAAAAAAAUCAAAUUUGGACAACCUCAUUGUUCACAAAAAGGUACAAAUAUUUUUCUGGUGUCAAUUUUAUUUGAGAAGUCGGAUUUACAAAAAAAAAAAAAAAUCUCGUUUCUAUGCAUCAGCAACGCUCUAAUCAAAGAAGAAUGAAGAAGAUAGCAGAAAUAAGUGAUUCACAAAUAAAGAAGGAACAACAAACAAUACUGUAGAAUUGAUAAUUCUAGAGCCAAGUGCUUCUGCUUGGAACUUGUCGCAAAAAAUUAAAUUGCAAGUGUUAGUUAACCUCGUGCAUGUUUUUUGGGAACAUUACACAAUAGUCUAACUCUUGCCGUAAUUUGUGGAAAAUCUCGUAUCAAUAGUCUAAUUUACGGCAAGUGAAACAGCUCGAAUAUACUGUUGGGCAGAGGGGAAGCCAUAAUUGUAGAGGGAUUCUUUACAUUUGGACAUGCAUAUCAAUAGUCUAACUUGAGCUCUUUCCAUUCUUUUUCUUUUUUCUUGUGAAGGAUUAAAAUUAGAAAACAAAAAAUGCAAACUUCUCGCUGGUUCUUCCUGUCAAAGUUUCAAACGGAUGUUAUUUUGGGAAUGUAUUACAAGACCAUCCUAUUUUUCGCUACCCUUAAUUCCAUUACCGGUGGAGCAUUGCUAUAGUGCCUCCUCUGCUGGCAAAACGAUUCAUGACCCAAGAAUUGAACAGCCUGAUUCUAAAGACUGUCGAGUUUUAAUUGUUAGAUUAUUACUACUAGCUCAUAGGCGCUCGUUUCGAAAGAAUUCUUGCUGGCGGUGGCAAUGAGCCACACGAGGAGGAAUUCUUUCGUUUAAUAUUCUUUCAUUUGAUCUUCGCAACAAAUAUUCAAGUCAUGGCGGAAGAUCUCGAAAUGCAGGGUAGCGAUGCCGGCAACAACAAGGACUCUGAAGGGCCAAAUGAAACGAGUACCAAGGGAUCCUUCCAUGGGGACCUGAUUCUCGCAAAGAAAUAUCAGCCUUCGCUGCGUCGGCGAAAAGUAAUUAAUUUGUUUCAAUUGUUGAUCAUCAUAAAAUCUGUUGGACUAGUGACAAUCAUCUUGUAUUUUAUGAUCACAGAACGCAACGAUGGGAGAGUCCUUCUAAUUUCCAUCGAUCCCACAGUUGAAUUUAUGGUUACUAAUUCAGACAAAAUGCUGGUGUUUGACGUCUCAGGAAUACACGUUGGUGCAAACAUUGUUGUUAGCGUAUCAAUCUCUUGGAGUGGUCUACGGAGACAUUGGCACUUCACCUCUCUACGUGUUGUCAUCUGUUCGGCUCGACAAACCUACGGAAGAAGACAUGAUCGGAAUCCUCAGUCUCGUCUUUUGGACCUUGACCAUAAUCCCGUUGAUCAAAUACGUCUUCAUUGUCCUUCGGGCUGAUGAUCAUGGCGAAGGUGGAACUUUUGCUCUGUAUUCUUAUCUGUGCAGGCAUAUAAACUUCCGAAGCAAACUGACCAUCCAAAGCACAAGAUUACAAUCUGAUGCAAACAUGAGUUUUUACACCCAAGGGAGUGCAAUACAGUCUAAGACCAAACAAUUCAUUGAAAACAGUCGCGCAGCACAGAAUCUCCUCACGUUCGUUGUACUUUUGGGUACCUCGAUGGUGAUCGGUGAUGGCGCCUUGACACCGGCCACCAGUGGUAAGCAAUCGAUCAUAAACCCAACAUUCGUAGUAAUGAAUGAUAAUACUCCAAUCAUUAACGGUUGAAAUUCUCUUUCAUUAACGGUAUGUUUCUAUGGCACUUAAAACAUUCCUUCCACGAUUAAUAAUCUUUCCGUACAGUUCUUUCGGCUCUUGCGGGAAUUCAAACACUUUCCUCAAAGAUAACAACAGGUACAUUUUUGUUCAUCUGCAUAUCAUGGUAUUUGAUUAAUAAUGAAACUACCAAAAUUAUACAAAUGAGUGAUGUUUGGUCAGGGUAUGUUGUGUUCAUGGCGGUUGUGAUACUGUUGGCUCUAUUCCUUUUCCAGUCAUGUGGGACGAGCAAAGUCGGGUUCUCAUUCUCCCCGAUCAUGUUUUUGUGGUUUGCUGCGAAUGUUUUCAUUGGCAUUUACAAUAUUGUCGCCUAUAAUCCUGCUGUCCUCCGUGGUUUAUCACCUCACUACAUUUUCAAGUUCUUUGGAAAACAAGGCAAAUCUGGCUGGGAGGUUUUAGGCGCCGUUUUCUUGUGCACAACAGGAGGAGAAGCCAUGUUUGCUGAUUUGGGCCACUUUAAUAAGAGAGCCAUUCAGGUGUUUGCCAUUACAAAGUUUAAAUGCUCAUUACUCUGCAUCGAGCAGCCCAUAACAAAUGUUUGCAAGUUUAGUUAACCAAUCACAAUAAUGCUUUUGCAGCUGGCUUUCUCCUUCUUUGUCUAUCCAUCUCUGGUGCUGUGUUAUGCUGGUGAGGUAGCUUUCUUGUCUAAGCAUCCCGAUGCCUUGACCAACGCUUUCUACAGCUCCAUUCCUAAGACAGUUUACUGGCCGAUGUUCGUGUUAGCAACCUUGGCCGCAACAAUUGCCAGCCAAUCUAUGAUAUCGGCCUCAUUUUCUAUUGUUAAGCAAUCUUUGGCUUUAGGUUGCUUCCCCCGGGUUAACAUAAAGCAGACAUCCCCCAAACAUGCGGGGCAAAUUUACUCCCCAGAAAUCAACUACAUCCUGAUGAUCAUUUGUAUUGCUCUCGUCUUGAGAUUCAAACAAGGGGUUGAGAUAGGAAACGCAUAUGGUAAUUAAACCGCCUUUUUCAACUAUAUGAAGUUCGACUCGAGUGAAUAAUUGUAUAUAUGUUGGAUAUUAAUCAAUCUUGGCCUAAUCAACUGCAGGUGUGGCUGUCAUAUGGGUGAUGAUAAUAACUACAUGUUUGGUGACGCUGGUGAUGUUGGUCAUUUGGGAUACAAAGUUUCCUCUCAUCCUUGCAUUUUUCAUUCCAUUCAUAUUCAUCGAGGGCGCAUUCAUGACUUCCUUGCUCAACAAAAUCCCUCAAGGUGGAUGGGUGCCAUUUGCAAUCUCCGGUUUCUUCCUGGUGAUCAUGCUGUCGUGGACUAGCGGGAGGAGCAAAAAGACCUCAUUUGAUGCAGAAAGGAAGCUGAGCCUAACGGAAUUCACGAGCAUGCUGUCGAGUAAUGAUCUCUAUCGUCCCCCUGGUAUUUGUCUCUUCUGCACCGACCUUGUCAAUGGGAUUCCGCCCAUCGUUCGCCAUUAUAUUCAGAGCACAAACUCUCUUCGUGAAAUUACCGUGAUCAUCACAAUAAGGACCCUACCAAUCAAAACAGUCCUUGCAGAGGAGCGUCUUGACGUGGGAAGAUUGGGAAUAGAUGGGGUAUACAGGUGUUUGAUUCAGUUCGGUUACAAGGAUUUGCAGAGCUUGGAAGAAGAUGACAUUGUUGCUUCCAUUGUGGCAAAACUCCGCGACACUGCUGAAACGGAGGAAGAGGCAGAAAAGCUUGGAAAAGCUUUGAAGAAAGGCGUGGUGUUCGUGGCUGGUCGGACUAUUCUCAAAUCGAAGGAGAGCAAUGGAUGGCUUUCUCAUUUGGUGAUAGAUUACUUGUACAGAUUCCUGCAGAAGAACUGCAGAUCAGCACUCACUUCACUUAAAAUCCCUCCUGGAAAGUUUUUACAAGUUGGGAUGCACUAUGAAAUUUAAGGAAACCUGCGCCAUCCUUCAGCUUCACUCUACGAUUCUUUCUAAUUAAUCUUGUUCACUCAACGAUUCUAUCUAAUUAAUUUGAUGAUCGGCUUGGUUCGCUCUAUGAUUCUAUCCAAUUACUUUUGUUCGAUGUCCUUCACGGCAGCACUAAUAAUUUAAGUUGCCAACUUUGUCUUCUGCAAAAUUAAGCACAAUCCUACGGUUCCAAGUCAUUGAACUAGGGGUGGGCAAAAUUACCUGCUAACCCGAAAAUCUGUCAUUUCCGAUCCGAUUCGAUCCGAAAAUUAGGAUAUUCGAUUUUUAUUAUUUGAUCGGGUCAAAAGAGGGUCGGGUACCCACUAAGAUGCGGGACGGAUUAGGGUCACAUAAUUAAAAACCCGUGAGUACUCGAUCCGCCCCGCAUAUAUAUAUUUUUUAUUUUUAUACACACACUAUAAAAUGAUAAGUUAGAACUAAAUAAGUAAUUUUAUUGAACAAAUUGCAUUACAAAUAUGAGAGACUAUAGUUUAUUUACAAGAUUCAUUUGUAGAGGCCAUGAUCGUAUAUUUUAUAGAAAAAAGUUUAAUUAAUGUGGAACAUAUAUAUUAAUAAUUGUGCUACUUAUUUCAAACUUUUAUUGAUUUUGAAUUCUUUUAAUUUUUUUCCUUUAUCUUAUAUUCUCUUCACAUGCUUGUUUCUUGGUGGAAACUUUUGUUUAGAAAAAAAAAUUAUUAAAUCUUAGAUGAAUGUGUAAAAUAUAAAAUUAAAUUGGUAUAAAUCAUUUUUUAAAAAAAAAAAUUAAAUGAUAAAUGGGACGGGACGGGUACCCGCUGAUCCGACCCUAUCUUAACGAGUAUCCUAUAAUCGGAUACCCGCUGAUAUGCGGGGCGGGUAAGGGUCAGAAAAUAGCUGACUCGCAAGGUGCGGAUCGGAUCAGCCAAAUGAUGAAUGGGAGGGGUACCCGACCCGUGCCUACCCGUACUUUGAACAAUGAGUGAGAACGAGGAGAGAUGGUAAAGCGUAUUGAACGAGUAUUAGAUGGAUACUCUCCUCUCCUGGCCUUAUGUAUCCAUCACAAGCAUAGUGCUUUUUUCUUUUUAAAAAGAUUCAUAGAGUACAGUAAUGUAGGUUAGCGUAGCAAGUAGGACAGCAGGGUAGAUCACUCUUUUUAUGAUCUCCUUCCUAUUUCCAUGUUUUUUAACAUUUUGUAGCACCACAACUCCUGUGGACCGCCUCCUCACUUGGAGAAUUUAAUUAUUUUUCUUGUCUCAGUCCGUAGGUGGAACCAUGAAUCUUAGCGUUAAAAAUGACCCAAAUAAAUUAUCUUUUUAGCACAAAGUAGUACUUACCGACAAAAGAGCGAUUCUCAGCGGGCAUGGUGGAGCAUGCACUUCCAUCUGUAUCCGUCUAAACAUCGAUGCCCACCUCACUCACUUAAUUGGUUUUGGAUUACUAAAAAAAUUGAGAUGGACGUUAAUGGGCAUCCUCCAAGUAAAACCAAUUGGUUUGACGUUUUUAAAGUGGAUGAUGACCCGCAUAAUCUGUCUAAAUCCAUUUAAAAAAGUAAUAAGCAAACCCAGCACGUUUUGGUAGUACUGAUGUUUCUUAUAUGCUGUGCUGCUAUAUUCCCAGAGUCCAAGACGUCGUUCAGCUCUUUCCACUCACCCGGCCGAAGGUUUCUUCUCAAUCGGGCCGGGGUAUUCCAAUUGAGUCGUCAGAACUCAUCCUAGGAGUGUCAUUUUAAGCUGCCUGUUAGUUAAAGAAAUUAACUUUGUGUUAGUUAAAUAGAUUUUAAAUGAACAAUUGAGUAUACAUCAUUCAUUCAUUCAUUUGGAUCCAAUCCACAUAUAUAUAACCGCUUAUUAUAUGAAUUUAAACGGAUUGGAUUAUUUAAUCUACGAUCCAUUUAUAUGAAACCAAUAAUUAUUUUUUAAUGUGGGAUCUGUUGUGGAGGCAAUGCUAGCUUUUAAAUAGAUUCCCGCACAUCAUUCUGUAUUUUCAUUCACAAGGUACCAAAGCCAACUUCGAAGUUCGAUUGCAAAUUCCGAAGCACUCACUAUAUAUAGCCAAUUAAUUGUCAGGUUGGAGGCCGCUCUACAAAAUAAUACUACAAGCAUGGAAGGCAAAGUCGCUAACAGCUCCGUGCUAGAAGACGAUCUUGAAAAUGGUGGCAGGAGAGGACGCGGUCGGUUUUCGCCCACCUGGUGCUGGAAACAUUAUUGAACUAUCAUCUGCCGUGGACAGAACCCUGAGCUUUAGUCGAGUUUUCAAGUCUCCCCCGACGCCAAACGAGCCCAAGGUCUAUAUAUACCAUAUAUGCUUGGUCGAUUGCCAUUUCUCAUCUUAGGUUGUUCAGUCACAUGUAUAUGUUGCCUUUCUUCAGUCCAUAGAUUAAACACACGACCGGCAUGGCGGCAUGUACACUCAACUCUAAACUAAGUGUCAGGCUACGUACUUUUUAACAUCUAAACACAAUUUUUUUUAACUAUCAUAUGAUGUGAUCAGGAAUAUCCAGCGGUGCAGACAUUGUUGUUGGCUUACCAAUCACUUGGAGUUGUGUAUGGAGACCUUGCUACCUCUCCUGUCAACGUGUUUUCCGCUACAAACUUGACAAACGUUACUGCAGAAGAUCUACUGGGGACCUUCAGCCUUAUGUUUUGGAGUUUGACUAUCAUAGUUUGGAUCAAAUAUGUUUUCAUCGUCAUUCAUGCCGACGAUCAUGGUGAAGGUGGUACUUUCGCUUUAUAUUCCUAUCUCCGUCGACAUAUAAAUUUCCGGACCAAGCUUACAAUUCGAAAUACAAGGUGGAGCACUGAUGAAAGCAUGAGGUUUUCUAACCGCGCCAGUCCUCUACGUUCCAAGACCAAGGAAUUCAUAGAGAGAAGUAUCAGAGCUCAGAAUUUUAUUACUGUAAUUGUUUUGCUUGGAACUUGCAUGGUCAUUGGGGAUGGAGCACUGACUCCAGCUACUUGUGGUAAUUUCUGCCUCCGAACCAUUCGAAGGAACAAAUACAUAUCUUGGCAGUCAGCGUUUCAAAACAAUCUCUUGCAAAACAAAAUGUAUUGUUGCUCCGUAAGAAAUUCAUAGCAGUAUUUGAAAUGCUCCUCGUGCGACUUUUGAACUAACAAUAAACAGCAUCUUGGGUCCAAAAAAAUCAGGGUUUACAAUUUGUUCGGGGUCUUUGCUUUUUGUUUCUUCUUUUUUUUUCAAGCUCUUUUUUCCCCUUUUUAUGGGCAGUACUAUCAGCGGUUCAAGGUGUCCAAUCCCUCUCUCCAAAGAUUACCCAAGGUACGUACUUCUUGAUUGAAGUUUAUCUUCUUGAGAGUAAAGCAGUCCCAGGAUACUCAUAUUAACUGCAGAAUUUUCCCUUUUUUAACUGCCGCAGACCAUGUUGUGCUCACGUCCGUUGCUGUUUUGAUACCACUCUUCCUCUUCCAACGCUGCGGAACAAGCAAAGUCAGCUUCACCUUCUCUCCAAUCAUGCUACUCUGGCUGGCUACCAAUGCUUCCAUCGGAAUUUACAACAUUUUCAAAUAUUAUCCGUCCAUUCUCAAGGCUGUGUCCCCUCACUCAUGGUUCGAAGACUCGGCCGAGACCGAGACGACUCGGCCGAGUCGUCACCGUCUCGGCCUAGUCCGAGACGAGACCGCGACGAAUCGAGACCGAGAUACUCAUCUCGCCGAGAAAUCGGCCGAGACGUCACCGCGACGGAUUGACUCGGCCGAGUCACUCCGAGUUAUCCCGAGUCAAGACGAGAAAUCAGCCGAGUUACACCGCGACGGAUUGAUUCGGCCAUUUCUUUGGCUAUUUUUUUAUUAUUUUUGUUUAGCAUACUUUUUUUAUAUUAUUAACAAUUUUUAAAAUAUUAAAUUCUUUAAAAUUUGCGUCUCACCGAGACCGUGACCGAUAUGCCGAGACCGAUGUGGAACGUUCCAAGCCGCGACCGCGACCGCAACCGCGACUUUGAACCAUGCCCUCACUACAUAGUGCUGUUCAGUUCAAGAAAUGCCAAAACUUUAUGGAAUCUCCUUGGUGCUGUAUUCUUGGGCAUAACAGGUACUGUCCUAGAAUUUUCUGGAAAAGUUUUAAGGAUUUUCUACUUCCGAAUUUAAUGAAUUUGAAAGCAAAAAACUCUGAAAAGGAUCUGCCAGUAAAGCUUCACUUGAACUACAAAAGGUUCACUUGAAUUUCAUAUAUUGAUUGGGACAGGAGCCGAGGCCAUGUUUGCUGAUCUGGGUCACUUCAACAAGCAAGCAAUUCAGGUGAGGAAUCACAGAACCAUCCAUGAUUGCAUUUCCAUCGGAAGGAGAAAAUACAAAUAAGACGUGUUUACUCGUGAACCCAAAGAAUAUACAUAUGCAUAUUGCGUCACAGGCAUAUUUAGAGUUAAUAAAAAGUUAGAACGCUGUACAAAUUAAUGCAUGAUCAUACUAUUAUUUUUACUGUAUACUUUUGUGAUGAAUGAAUUUUUUGGUAAGUAUUUAUUCGUCUAAUUUCUGGCAAUCAUAGUUAUUUGGCUACUUGAUGGCAAGGCAACUUAGCUCAUUCGUUGUUUUGUGCAGUGGGCUUUCUCAUUCGUUGUUUAUCCAGCAUUAAUCAUCACCUACGCUGGUGAAACGGCUUACCUAAUCAAGUAUCCAGAGAAAAUCAAUAACGCCUACUACAGUUGCCUUCCGCGCCCAGUAUACUGGCCUAUGUUUGUUAUCUCCACACUAGCCGCCGUUGUUGCUAGCCAGUCCAUGAUAUCUGCAAGCUUUUCUAUCGUGAAGCAGUCACUGACCCUCGGCUGUUUUCCUCGAGUCAAAAUGGUUCACACUUCUUCCAAGCAUGAAGGGCAAGUUUACUCCCCAGAAGUUAACUACGCCCUAAUGAUUCUCUGUGUUGGUCUUGUCAUUGGAUUUAAAGGUGGCGUUGCACUAGCAAAUGCCUACGGUAAGCCAACCUUCCCUUCCCUCAAUUACUGUCGAUGAUGACCGUACUUACAUAUAUAUAUAUAUAUACACACACACAAAUUAACUAGGGUAAUUUAAAAAAAAAAAUGAAGUUCUGUUGGCUUCUAUCUAUACACAUUGCAGGUGUGGUUGUCAUCUGGGUCAUGCUCAUAACAACUCUUUUGACCUCGUUAGUUAUGCUCGUCAUCUGGAACUCCAAUAUACUUCUAGUCCUAGGUUUUCUCGUACCAUACGUAAUAAUUGAGGGCAUCUUCAUGACGUCCAUGCUUAACAAAAUUCCACAAGGAGGAUGGGUGCCAUUUGCUAUCUCAGCUAUCCUUGGGACUGUGAUGCUGUCUUGGACGUAUGGAAGGAGUAAGAAGAGCGUUUAUGAAGAAGAAGGAAAGAUGAGCAUUGGUGAGUUAAACCAGAAGCUAUCAAGCACUUGUAUCUUUAGAACGCCAGGAAUUUGCUUCUUUUUUACGGACCUUGUCGAUGGUAUUCCACCAAUUAUCCGGCAUUAUAUUCAGCACACUAAUUCAGUUCGUGAGAUAAUGGUGGUAGUUACCAUUAGAACUCUUCCCAUCAAAACUGUCCUACCAGAGGAACGUUUCGUUGUGGGAAAGUUGGGAGUUGAAGGAGUUUAUAGGUGUUUGGUUCAGCUAGGAUACAAGGACUCGCUAAAUAUGGAAGGUGGUGGUUGCACUCGAGAAAUUGUGGCUAAGCUACGAGGAAAUGAAGACACUACAGCCGAACAACGAAAACUUCAUUCUGCCUCAGAAAAUGAAACUGUUUUUGUCAUGGGCAGGACAAUUCUUGCUGCAAAUGAGAACGAUGGAUGGCUUGCCCGUUUCACCAUAGAGUAUUUGUACAGUUUUCUUCAAAAGAACUGCAGGUCAUCAGUUUCGGCACUUCAAGUGCCACCGGAAAAGACAAUGCAGGUUGGAAUGCUAUAUAGACUGUAAAGCAAAUCUAGGAAGUCGCCUAGUUUCUUAGUAUAUGCAUGCUAGUACAAAAUGAAGCCCUUCAAGCUAAUAUGUACAUGAGCAGAAGAAUCUAGCCUACUUUCAAGCAAAGGAAUCUAGCACACUUUUCUUGUAGCCCCUAAAUUGAAUAUCGAUUACACUUGCUAACUAGAGAUUCCCAACUUCUAUGUGACCAUCUACAAACUUUUGCCAUCGUCUAAUUUCAAGCUCGCACCCCCACUGAUUGAAGUAGAUUGUAACACAAAAUUUUCAUAAAUAUAAAUAAAAAAAAAAUUAAGUUGACAUACCAUGUAAAAAGAAGGGCGAUUGCUUGGUUACUUUCGCACAUCAAGUUACAAGCAUCUAUAAGUAUAUACAAAUGAGGUUACGAAAAAGAAGAUUAUAAGUGUGCUUGGAUAGUAAAUUAUUUGAGAUAAUUUUUUGAAAAAAUUAUUAUAGUACUUUUUGAUAUGAUAUAUAUAAGAUUAAAAGGUGAUUAAAAUGUGUUUAUAUUAUAUUUUACACGCUCCAUGAGGUGAUGAGCCAUCAAGUGAUAUAUACCAUUCUUGUUUUUAAAACCUUCUUGUGUUUCUUUUACAAUAAUCCGUCUCACCUCAUGCGACCUUUCAUGCAAGUGAUACCAUUCUCUAGGACAAAGUUAGAAAGAAAACAAAAUCUAUCCGAACAAAUACGAAUGGACAACUGGAAGAUGAAGCCGAGAAAAAUUUCUUGCCAAUGACAUCGUAAGAACAUUCUUGACUAAGAAACCCUUGAGCAACAUAGGAAGCAUAAACUACGAAAGUUUCGUGUGAUGUUUUCCUACUAAUCUGGAAUACAAGGUCUGAUUUCUUUCAAAUUACAAAUAAGCUCACACCCUAAACUCAAAGCACAAAACGCACUAAACAAUCACAUAUUAACACCAUCCGAGAUACUUGUAUCAGCAUUCACAAAUAUUACAUCCAUGUAAAAAAUUAACUUCACAAUGUCUCGUCUGGGAAUGAACUGCCAAGGUCAGCUCGGCAUGGUAAAAGAAUCAGUCACCUUUACACUGAACAAACUGGUAUAAUUGCAAAGCAGAUGCGCAGCAACCAAAUCAACUAAUUUGCACAUAUCUCGAUGGAAAACAAAAUUGCCAUUCAUUUCCUCCCAAUUCUUGUUUUAACACCACCUGAAAUUUGGAACCAAGUAAAAAAGGUUUUAGGAUCACAUCAAUCUUAUAAAAAAGAAACUACAGCUACAAACUACUGAAGUAACUCUGAAUAUUUAACCCACCUUCCACUUCUUCAAACUGAACUACCUUCACCAGGUCCGCAGCCGCAUUGUACUCAAACCUGCCAGAUCAAACUUCAGUUAUCCAAUGAUAUCAACAAAAAAGAGGCUUUUAUUAUGCUGUCAGUUAGCUCAAACAAAGUAAUGAUAAAUUAUAACCAAGAUAAAGAGAGGCUAAAUUAUUGUGCUAAUGAUUUAUAGUAUGUUAUGCACCAUGCUUAAACGUUAAAAGAAACACUUUUGACAGAAUAAAUCAAGAAUCCCAGCUUACAAAUAAAAAAUAUAAAAUUUAAGCAUAUGAGUUACCUAGAAUACCCAAAAGAAAAUACCAGAUCUUGUACCUCUUACUCGAAGCAGUAAUUUCGACCACAUAUAAAACAGAGUAUAUACCGUCUCAGCAGUUCAAAAACAUUACGAGGAGUUGUCAAAAGUGGAAGUUAUUUCUCUAAGAGACAAGAAGCAGGAUUGCAGCUUUACAGCAUAUGAAGAUAUGAAAGUUAGUAAGGAUGUAUAAUUGUUCGCUAAAGGAGCUGAGUAAACCAUUGCUGCAACCUUAAAUGAAUAGUAGUUGUGUGAUCAACAACCACAAAGCAGAAAGAACAUGAGAAACUGCGGCCAGAACAUAGGCUGUCCAUUACCUGUUAGAGUGAAGCACAUCCAGUUCAUAGUCAGAUGCACUUUUGGUAGCUUCUACCAGGGCAUUUACAAUCUCUGCCUUUCGAGUACUAGCCAUAAGUAUAUCAUACUCUGUUGGGAUAAUUAUAGCAAAAAAGUUAUCACCCAGUUCACUCAAACUCAGCUUCUCAACAGCUGCUAGUGCAAUCCGCCUUUUAAGUGCAUCACAGUCUGGGUCUACUACAUAUAUUGCAAAAUCAGUAAUCAAAAGUAUACGAUGCUUCAUCUUCCCUGAACCAGUAAAUUUCAAAACUUUAUCUGCAAAGAGAACUUUACUGUCACCUGUGACAUCAAAAGUCCGAGAAAACUUAGCGUUCUAGGAAGAACAUUUCAGCUAACUGGUUAACACAAAACUGAGUACAAAUAACCCCUGACGAGCAACAACAACUUUCAGCCUAACACACUACAAACCAGAGGUCCAAAGGAAACACUCAAAGAGCACAUCAAGCAGGACCAUCAUAUGUAGAGUACCAACAUGAAAAAAAAAGAUAGCUCAACACGGCUGUUAGAAAAACUCUAGAACACCAUUUUCGAAGUAGGUUUGUUAUAGUACUUGACAAUUGUAACACAAAUAUCAAAAGAAGAAAGGCAAACAGUCACCACAAUCAGAAAAUCAUACAAAAGACCACGAACAUCUUGAAUCAGAGCAACAAAAUAGAAUGGAUUAAAAAGAAAAAAAAAACGCACUUGCACACUUGAGCGCACGAAAAAAUAAAUGCGCAAAACUCAUGCGCCUGGUAAGAGUCACAAAAGGGAGUUCUCAAUUCCUCCUUUUCAAAAUUAUAUAUUUCGCUUAGAUCCAUCUUAAUAUUACACAAAUACACUCAACUAAAUGAUCAAUGAUGACAUGUUGAUAUUUGCUACUAAAAAGAAAAAAGAUAAGCAAAAAAACUGAGUACAUUCAAAAAAAAUCCAACUGAAUUUGAUUAGAGGGAGCAGAAGCAGUCCCUGGUUAAUUGAAGAACAAAUAGAUACACAAUAACACCAUGGUUAACUAAUGAUGAAUAACAUCAAGAUAUCCAAGGCUUCAAAUUUAAAGUUUUUUCGAUACAAUUUCCCUAAAGCACUAUAAAACGACAAUCGUCAAAUUAGAAUCGCGUCGAGAUUAAAAGACUGCAAAUUAUUACCUUGUUUGCUGAGAAUCUUCAUGAGAUAUGAUCGAGAACGCACGUUGACAUAAUCUUUACUGAAAAGGGUGUUAUUUUGGAUUCCUCCGUUUGAGUGGCCGUUGUCUCGGGUUUCAGGGGAUGCGGUGUCUUCGUUGUCGUCAUCGUAAAUUGGCUGGUCUUUUUCCAGCCGCCGAUUGGAUUGGAACCGUGACAUCCCGGGAAAGGUGGCAAGCCGGCGGCUUCGGACGGUGGGGGAUGCCUCGCCGGUGGUUGUGGCUGCUGGAUUUGUUUAGGCGUGGAAACGGGAGAGAUUAGACAUUUCGGAGCACGGGGCGGCCCCACUUCAGUUGGUGGGGUUCCAGCUGUUGUGAUUGGGAAAAUGUCUAAGUUUAAUUACAUAAUGACUCCUUGAAAUUUAAUGAUGAUACCUUUCGACCCCUGUUAUUUGGACAAGUUCACUUGGAGGAGUGUUUUUCUUAGAUUCAUUGAAAGUGCAUCCUUUGCAAAUGUUUCCCUCCAAACGUGAAGAAGGAAAAAAAAUAGAAAGGAAAAAAAUCCACAAUUCCCCGUGACGGUAUUUGACAAUGAAACUCCUAUUGGUAAGCAUAAUAGUGUAGUAUUUGUCUUAAGUUCAUCUUAGGCGUGGGGAGUAGACUUGGCAAUUAUGCCCAAAACCCAACAGUCCAUCCACUAAUUUGAGAGGUUGAGUUGGGUAAGUUAGGUAUUUGGUUAAUUUUGGGUUGGGUAAUAAAAACCCACAUAUAUUUUGGGUUGUUUUGAUAUUUGUGUUGGGCACUCAUUACCCAACUUAAGUUAAAAAAACAAAUAAACAAAUUACAAGAGAUGGGAUAUGGGAUACAGAAACAUUUCAUUGUUCAUGAAACAACAUGAGACAUGAACCAAAGCAGGGCCUCCAUGUAUGGAUACUUAACAAAAUUAUAUGAGCUACUUAGCUAUAAUACUUACUUGCAUGCGUCGACGUUUUAUUAUUUUCCUAUAUUCAGAGCAUUCCACUCCUUUUACUUCCAUAAUAUUUUUCGCCACUUCUUCUUUUGUCAUGCAAUCAAAUAUAAGCCCAUCUGGAUUGUUAUUUUUUGAAAAUUUUAUAAAAAAACAUACUGUAAUAAUUUAAUAUAUAUAUAAUAACAAAAUAAUUAAAAAAUGCAUUCAAUAAAACAUUAUAAAUUUUUUGGGAAAAAAUAACAAUCCGAGAAAGUUUGCAGAUACCAUAUCAUAUGUGUGCCUUUCCCACUUCUUGUUAUACUAGCACGCCAAUAUAUCCCACUUCUUAAGUGUGCAUUUGUAUUUGUGAGUGUUUUAGUGUGUGAAAAUAUGUCUAUUUAUGUAAAAAUGUGUUUAUGUGUGUGAAAAAGUUGUUUUUAUGUGAAAAUAUAUUUAAGAAAGUUUAUGUAUCAAAAUCUAUUAAUUAAUAUAUUUGUUCAUAUUUGAGUCAUGAGUUUGAGAUGACCCAAUAUAACCCAACCCAAAAUUAAUCCAAUCUAAAAUUAGACGAGUUGGGGGUAACCCAUUUAAAUAAAAAUCCAAUCUAACCCUCCCAAUUGCCAGGUACAGUCGGGAGCACAGAUAUGCCUUGACAUUUUGAAGGAGCAGUGAACCAUAGAUGUGGCUUGUGGCUGCUUAUAGAUGGUUGUAACUUGAUGUUCGAAAGUAACCAAGUAAUUGCCUUCUUUUUUACAUGGUAUCUCAACUUAUGAUCUUCCUUUUCAUAUUCUAUGUUUUGCUUGGGAGUGCUAGGAAAAAUUAACCUCAUUUGUACAAUAUUUGAGAGAGAGAGAGAGAGAGACGUGAUCCAGCAUCUUCAUGCAAAUAGCAGUCAAGAACAACGAAAUACUAAGUAGUUGUCCAACCUCAUUUUACAUGGCAGGCAUUCUUGGACGAGCAAAAGAAGAUACAAGGACGUACUACCAAACAAUGCGACUAAAACUCAAUAGUUGAGCAAUGGGAGAAAAAUUAAUUCCAGCAUAUUUACUCCUUUAAUUGAAGUAAGAAUGGUACACUAUUGUUGACCAGAAGUCGAAGCUAUAUCCGCAGCAAUCGGUGUGAGGGCGGCGGGAGUUGAUUCUUCCGUCCUCGUUUCAGUAGAUGGCGGAUUUCCUGUAUUGACUCUUCUCAUAUCCUCUACCAUCUUCAGUACAUCACUCAUUUUUGGUCUCUGCUCCGGCAUUCUUGCCACACAUGUCAUCCCUAUUCGUAACAUCUCCACCAUCUCCUCCUCUAUAUUAGGAAACCUCAAAAGCUCUACAUCAAAAACUUCAGCAGUCCACUCCUCGCGAACAACAGAAUUAACCCAUCUGACCAAGUGGAUAACUUCAUCGCCACCAGUAGCAUGUAUAGGGGAUUUUCCUGUGAGAAGUUCAAGCAGCAACACCCCAAAGCUGAAGACGUCGGAUGCUUGAGAGACUUUCCGGGAGUCUGUCACUUCCGGAGCACGGUACCCUGCAGUCCGCAUGACUGGUGGGGCUAUUGGAGUGAUUAGUGUUGCCAAGCCAAGAUCAGACACACAACCAUAUUGUUGGGAGUUGAGGAAAAUGUUCGAAGCUUUUAUGUUUCCGUGAACAAGUUUCCCACCGCAUUCCGAGUGUAUAUGAGUAAUACCUCUCGCUGCCCCAAUUGCAAUCCUAAUACGGGAUUCCCAAUCCAAAGGAAUCCGCUUCUCACCCAUUUUUGCUGAAAAAAUGCCAAAAACAACACAAAUGUUAUCAGACAAACAAGUAGUCUCCAGCAUACCAAUACGUCCUCCCAUUGUUUCUGCAGACAAACACAACUCCAGAAAAAAUAGAUCUCAACUUUUUAGCAUGAAUCAGCAAUAAUUUAUAUAUGAACCGGUGAGUAACUGAAAUAAAUCUAUUCAGUCCUGACGGCAAAAGCAAAUUUAUAUGAGAUCAUCAUAUACAGAAGCGUUCUUUACAUUCUUAAAAGAAAAAGUAGCAGUUACUUAUCUACUUCAUUUCUGACAGAACGUAACCAAUUUUCUAACCUUCAGUUAUAAUCGAAACUAGGUUACAUUUGGAUUCCUAAAUCUGUAGCACAUACAGGAGCAUAUUGACAUCAACUACUAUUAAUGUCUGUAAGAUAAACUCUUCAACUCUGGAACCGGUAAAGUAGUCAGCUCUAUUAUAUCAUACCCAAUUCCAAUACUCGUGAUUAAUUUCAAUAGGGCAUUCCUUUAAGAUCAACUCAAUGUUAAGGAAAAGCUGCUUAGAGUAAAAUGCCUGACAUGAAGUAAUGUAGAGACCAACACAAUUCGGUGGUGGAAGAAUGGGGACAAAAAAUGCUGAUAAAGGAAACUCGGGAAGGGAAGCAUCACUUGCACUAAUCAUCAUAGAAGAUCUUGGUACGACUAAGCCAUGGUUAAAACUUAAAAGUAGCUAACCUUAGCCUUGAUGGGGAAUAGUGUCUUUUUUGGCCACACUCCAUUAUAUGGACAAUGCCAAACUGUAAAGUUCGACUUGGGACUCAUUCUGCUGGCGUGGACAGUUUGACACUCACCGUCCGGCGUCCGGUGCAUUAAAUUAGAGCCUACCAAGGCGGAGCUGAUCGGUACCCGACAUAACGACCCUUUUCUCUCUCUCUCUCUCUCUCUAAAUUUAACACAAGGACAAUUAUUGCUAGUUGCUGCCUAAAGUUUUAACUUUUAACACGCUGAAUGAGAGUGCAUACUUCUUGUUCAGGUUUGCUUUGUUUAGUGUAUAAACUGGUUCAAAUGGGCCUGUUUGGAACCUGAGUUUUUUAGGAGUUUGUCUAAAAUUUUACUGUAGUAUACUGUAUAAGUUUUAAAAAAAUUUGUAUAGAAUUUUUUGUAAGAUGAAAAUUUUUUUUGUAAUAUGAAAAAUUUUGUAAAAGUUUUUAAGGAGAAAAACUUUUUUUUUUCUUUUUUUCUUUCUUUUUCUCUUUCUCUUUUCUUUUUUUUUUCUUUUUCUUUCUUUUCUUUUUCUUUUCUUUCCUUUCUUCUUCCUUCCCUCUCCCCCUUCCCCGUUACCAGCCCCCUCCCAGCAGCAACGCAACACCCCCUACCCCUCCCCCUCCCUCUACCGUCACCCUCCCUCUCCCCUUUCCCUUCCUUCCCCUGCCACUCCUCUUCACCCUCCCCCGCCACCCCCCUCUACCAGCCACCCCUUUUCCUCCCCUCUCCCCGCCACCCGCCACCCUUUUUCCUCUCCCGUCUCUUCUGCCCGUCACCCCUUCCCCUCCCCUCUCCCCCGCCGCCCCUCUUCUCCCUCUGCCCCGCCAACCCCCUCUGUCUGCCACCCCUUUUUCUCCUCCCCUCACCCAUCCCCGUCACCCUCAGCAGCCCCAUCGCCCUCCCUUAGCUGCGAUCUGGUCGCGCGACCAGAUCGCAGCCCCCCAUCCCCUCCACUUUUGCGAUCUGGUCACGGGACCAGAUCUGGUCGCGGAAAGGGAGGGUUGCGGGGGAGGAAAAAAAAAAAAGAGGAAGGCAAUCAAACUGGAUAAAGGGGGAGGAUGGCAGGGAGAGGGAGAAAGGCAACAAAAAAAGGAAAUGGCGCCGGAGGUGGUGGUGGUCGGCGAUGGAGGUGGUGGACGGGUUGGGAUAGUGGAGGAAGAAGAAAGCCAAAGGGAAGGGAAUUUUUUUUAUGUGUGUUCUGUGUAUUGGGUUGGGAUGGUGGAUGAAUUUGUGUGUGUUUUGUGUAUUUUGAAGUGUGUAGGUAAAAAACUUUGAGAAGUUUUUUGAGAUUCCUGUAGCAAAAGUUGUUAAAAAACUUGUAGGUAAAAAACUUGCCCAAAAAACUAGCUUCCAAACAGGCCCAAUGUUCGAAUUCAACUCAAUAAUUUAUAUGAAUAUUUGAGUUUAAAUUCGAGAUCGACUCGUUAAAAUAAAUUAGCCGAAUCCCAGUUCAAACUUUAGCUCGAACCUGAGUUUGAAAAUGAUUUAAUAAUAUCUUUAAAAAAUACAUGAUCUAGAAUAAGUUUAUUGUAUUUUUUGCUUUAAAAAAUAAAUAAUAUUAUUUUUAUUUAUAAUUACUUUUUGAGAAAUUUACAAUAUAUGUUUAAUAAAAUUAAAUGCAUUUAUCUAUUCUUUAUAAUUAUAUAUGUGUCUAUGAACUAUUCAAAUAAUUCGGGAUCAAAUUCGUGUUCGGUUCGAUUAUUAAUCAAGUAUAAUAUUGGUAUUCGAGUUCGAUUCGUUCAUUAUUUGAUCAAGUUUUCUUCAAACUCGAACAACUUGGCACAAAUAUAUUUGCAAACAAUUCGAUUUACUAUUAAAAACUCUAAAUGCUGCCUGUAUAUCAUUCCCGGGAGAAGUUCGAAUCCUCCCAUUAUUAUGUAACUUGUACUGCACCAAAGUCCAGUCGCCGUUUUAAGUUUUCCUUGUUCUCCAACUUCCUCUUGUUAACUCAAUUGUAUUGUACCAUGAAACUUACAACUUUAGUGUUGUACCAUGAAACUUAUAUGACGUGUGGAAAUCAAAAUAUUUUCGAACAAUAAUUAUAGAGUAAAUCAUACGUGUACUGACAGUGUAUAUGCUAUUACGGUUAGAUACACGACAUAUGUAUAAAAUUUUACAUUAUGUGUCAUCCAUCCAAUAGUAAAAGUGUAUACACUGUUAGUGUAUAGAAGAUUAAUUCAUAAUUAUAAAUUGGGUGGCAUUGGUUCUUGUUUGCUUGAAGCGGGUUAGAAGUGGAGAUUUGGGGGGAAAAUAUCUGUCUUUAAUUUAUUGACAAGCAAAAGCAAAGCUGCUUUAAAAUCAAGCUUAACUUUAAAAUUAACACAUUUUAAAUCAAAAUAAACUAAAUGCUACGGCUGUCAAAUUUCAUAACAGUCAAGAUACAAAUUAAAUAAUAAGCAGACCUGAAAUCUAUUUAAUCUAUUGCAAGAUCCACAGCCAUUUGGGCGGCUACUCCUAAAGUCUUGGUCCUUGGCUUAGCUUUGACUUUAUGAGCGGCCAAAAUUAGUUUGUAUAUUAUCAAUUCUUUGGAUCAUUACAAUAGCAGUUUCCUUGGAUUUUCUUUUGUUCCAAAUUUUACAACUGGAGAUUAAGAACAUUGUCAAUCACAAAAAUUAUACCAUCGAAAGAAAAUGCUUUUCACAGAAAAGGUAGCAGGUAGCAACGUACAAGUAACUGGUUUAAUUCUCGUUUUGUUUUUCGAACGUCUCAAUCACCGACAAAUAGAUAAUUAAUUUGUUAAUAUGAUUCAGAAGUCAGAUUGCACUGCUCAAAACAGCCGGAGGCUCGCUACCUCCCUUUUCCAGGUCUUCUAUUAUUAAAAAUCAGGAUAACUCGAUUAAUAAUCAGAGUGGCGCAGCGGAAGCGUGGUGGGCCCAUAACCCACAGGUCCCAGGAUCGAAACCUGGCUCUGAUAUUAGAAGAGACAAGCUUCCCCUACCACCUUUUUUUAUUCCAUUCCGUAUUACUGCGCCUUUUUCCCCAUACUUUAUUACUGCGUCUGGGCGAAUAAAAUAAGACCACCGCGAGAUAUCGUCUGCUAUUUAAACCCAUUCAUAAAAAGAGAAGUUAAAAUACCCAAAAUACAAGAAGAAAAGCCCUAGUUACAGAUUUCAAAAUAUCGCGAUAUACCAAAAAAGAUCUCUAAACUCUGCAAAAUCCGCUUUUCUCUCCACCGAUAAGAGAUUAGGACUCGAUGAAAUCUUCUCUCUCCACGUAAGUUCCAUUCCCAUAUCUGCGUCUAUCUCGCUAUUUUCUCUUUCUUUAUGUUUUCUUUUUCUUCUGGAUCUUUAUCUGAAUAAAGCUCUACCUGGUUUAGAGAGAAAACGCAGAAAGCUUCCCAUUUUGCAGAGAAAUCUCGUGCUUUUAUUAUUCGAAGCUAAAAAGCGAACAUGAGAUGAGCAUAUUACUGGAAAUUUUUGGCUUUUUUACGUUCUGUUAAUGCGGAGGAGAAAGAUGUGAAAUAGAAAGCUGCUGUUUUUUGCGUUGCAUCUUGAUUGAUAAGGAAUCUUAAUAUGUAACAAAAUAACUUGUUAGCUGAAAUAUUAUGUGCUCAAUUUGAUUGGACGAAAUUGCCGCAGAUGAACAAGACGAAUAUCACUGUUCUAAUUCGAUACAUUUUGUUGUCUUAAAAUACUAAUGAUGUCUGUUCAUGGACCAAAGCUGAGACUGCUGAUGAAAAGUAAAAUUCGUGGUACAACUGAAAUUCGUAAUACUAUAUGAUGACGUGUGCAAAAUCUAGCUCGAUGUUGAUAACCAUGACACUUUUUUGUAAAAUGCAAUGCGUCCGUGAAUUUUUUUCCUUGUGUAAAAUGUAGUCUGUCAAAGUAGUAGGUGAUGAUCCAUGACAGGCGUCUCUUGGCAUUAGCUUAUCCAUGUCCAAUGAGCUUCUCUACAAAGUUGAACUCAUCUAAUUUUUUUGAUGAUAACUUAUGAUUUGUGUCAAUGUGACUUCGUAUGUACACGCUACUCUGCUUUGCUUCAGUUAAUACUGCAUUUCUGUGCUGUUUGUGGCAAUAUUUUUGUCUCAUGGUCGGAGAUGCUUUGAAUGCAUUGUUGUCUCUCAUAAUACCUUCUUCAGCUGGAUAUGGUGGUUGUUAUAUGAAUUUGUUUACCAACUUUGUCUGUAUUUGUUUUUCCCGCUUGUCAUAUAUCAUUCAAUUCAUUGUUGCUUCUUUAGGUAAGGAGAGGUCAGAGCAAAGCAUCUUCUGUAUCAGUAAGCUGUCUCUUUUCCUAAUUUAAAAUUCUAUCACAUUUUUCAUGAAUAUGAUCUUCAAAGUUCAUGCCUGCGUGUUAAGCAUUUGAUUGCCGAAUCUUGAUGGUGUCAGAAUUUUUUUUUUCUUUUUGCACGAAUAGGGGAUUGAAGAUUGCUGCUUUACUUGCUAAUUUUGUUGCCUGUCCACUCUGUAAGCUUUAAUGGAGUUGUCACUCCAUAAUGGCCUAAUAUCUAAAAUUCCUGAUGAUUUGUGUGUAGUACCGUGAUUAAUGCAUGUGUGCACCUGCUUAGUAACAUACAUGGACCAAAUUGUCAAAUUUUCUUCUGUGGCAGUGGUUCGAGAAAAAGAUGUUUGCUGGGAGUAUGCCGAAAAGUUAGACGGAAACAAAGUGAGAUGCAAGUUCUGCCUUAGAGUACUGAAUGGUGGCAUUAGUAGAUUAAAGCAUCAUCUGUCUAGACUUCCCAGUAAAGGUGUAAAUCCAUGCGGCAAAGUGAGGGAUGAUGUUACUGACAGGGUCAGAGCUAUUAUAGCGGUAAAGGAAGAGGGAAAGGAAAUUCCCCUUCCCAAGAAACAGAAGCUAGCAGAAGCGAAACCUCCUAUCAGCACUUCCAUGGGUAAAGGUUCAAUCACUUUGGAAGCACCUCCUCCAGUGGUGAAAGUUUUUCCAUCUGUGAUGCCCAUAGGUUCCUCCCCAGCUAGUGACGAAGAGAAUGCAGAGAGAAGUAUCGCCUUAUUCUUUUUUGAAAAUAAACUGGAUUUUGGCGUGGCUCGUUCUUCAUCUUAUCAACAAAUGAUUGAUGCAAUAGGAAAGUGUGGCAGUGGGUUCAUAGGGCCAUCCUCUGAUUCUCUUAAGACUAUCUGGUUAGAUGGGAUCAAGUCUGAAUUAAGCUUAGAAUCUAAAGAUAUUGAGAAAGAAUGGGCCAUGACAGGUUGUACAGUAAUCGCUGAAACAUGGACAGAUAACAAAUCUAGAGCUUUGAUUAAUUUUUUAGUCUCUUCACCUUCUAAAACUUUUUUCCACAAAUCAGUAGAUGCAUCGUCAUAUUACAAGAAUAUCAAGUGCCUUUCCGAUUUAUUUGACUCUGUAAUUCAAGAUUUUGGCCAAGACAAUGUUGUGCAGAUUAUUGUGGAUGAUACUCUUAAUUGCACUGGUUUGGUAAACCAUAUUCUUCAGAACUAUGGGAGUAUAUUUGUUUCCCCUUGUGCUUGGCAAUGUCUAAAUUCAAUCCUGGAGGAGUUCUCCAAAGUAGAUUGGGUUAACAGAUGUAUCUUGCAGGCACAGGCUAUCUCAAAGUUUAUAUAUAACGCUUCGUCUGUUCUGGAUCUUAUGAAAAAGUACACCGGAGGACAGGGGAUCAUUAAGUCUGGCAUCACAAAGCCUGUUUCUGACUUUCUCUCCUUGCAAUCUAUCCUGAAACAGAGGUCAAAACUGAAACAUAUGUUCAAUAGCCCUGAAUUUUCUGCAAAUUCAGCUUUUGCAAAUAAGUCUCAAAGCAUAACCUGUGUUGGCAUUCUUGAUGAUAAUGAUUUCUGGAGGGCAGUUGAGGAAUGUGUUGCUGUUUCUGAACCCUUCUUGAAAGUCAUGAGGGAAGUUUUUGGAGGGAAGCCUGCAGUGGGGUACAUUUACGAAUUGAUGACUAAAGCAAAAGAGUCAAUCAGAACUUACUACAUUAUGGAUGAGAUUAAAUGCAGUACUUUUCUAGAUAUAGUUGACAAGAAGUGGCAGAACAACCUCCAUUCACCUUUACAUUCUGCUGCUGCUUUUUUGAAUCCUAGCAUCCAGUAUAAUCCAGAGGUCAAGUUUCUUGGCUCUAUAAAAGAAGAUUUUUUCAGAGUCUUGGAGAAAUUACUCCCCACGCCAGAAUUAAGACGAGAUAUUACCAAUCAAAUUCUUUUAUUUACCAGGGCAUCUGGGAUGUUUGGUUGUAAUCUCGCAAGGGAAGCAAUUGAUACUGUUACACCAGGUAUCGUUGCUUUUAUUUUCUUUGCAAUUUUUUUCUCUUGCUUUUUUGGUACACUCGUAUAUCACAGCAGUUGAGUGGUUGUUUAUCUCCCAGGGCAUUCCAUUGUUUUUAUUGACAAAAACGUCUCAGCAGUGAAGCAAAUGAAUCUUUAUUUAUUAACAUCCAUAACAUUGCAGAUAAUACAAAGUUAGAGAUCUAAUCUUUGAGUUCAACAGGGUAGAUCAUAUCAGACAUUUGAGAUUCCCAAAACUACUUUGUGAAGAACUUAUCUUGUUGGCAUGUAGUACAAGUAUAGGGUUUUAUACUUGCAAUCUCUAUCAAAAUAGGAGCAACUUGUGCUUAGGAAUUUGGAGAGAGAGUUUCUAAGACUGGCCAAAGAAAAAAGUUGAAAAAAUUAGAAAAUAGUUGGCUUCUUACGGAAUGAUUUUACUGGUCAGGAGAAGUUCAUAAACAUGUGCUAAUUUCAUAGGGCCGUUUGCAUCCCAAGCAUGUUGGUCACUUCAAUUGAUCAUGAGAGCUCUUCAGGAGCUACUGAAAGCUCCUGUCUUGCUCAAAAGUAAUGAUGCGAAAAACACCAUUUUUUCUUGAAUGUUUUCACUUUACUGGCCAAAUAGAUACUUCUUGUACAUUCCUGAACUGAUAUUUGUUGUUUUUAUACUGACUUUGCCAAAUAAUAGAACUGUCUUGCAGGAUGGAAUAUCUUUGCUCUUAAGGAUCUCUUCCCCAAAAACUUUUUUCACUACACCCCUUAACUAUUGAACUACUUGAACAAGGCAGGCAGAGGAGUGGGGGGGGGGUGUUGUUGUUGGAGCCCAUUUUGUAGGAGCCUUCAUCAUAUCUUUCUCCUCUUAAAUGAUUAGUUCCAGCAUUUACAUAUAUUCAAAUUGAGCUUCGGUUAUAUGAUGUAGAACCUGUCUUAUCUUGAAUCAAUUAUAAAACCAAAGUGGUAGCCCUGAAGCCAAAUUUGAAACACAGAAGGCAUUAUACUAGUUCCAAUUUCUGUUUCUAUGCCACUUGUCAGUGCACUUCCAAUUGGUGUAUACUAAACUCAUCUUUUCCCUUUCAGCAAAUUACUGCACCUUUGUUUUUUUAACUGAAAGGUAUUUUCAAACUUUAGACCUCUUCUGCAGACCAUAACUAUCUCUGAGUCUUAAAGAAACUGCAGGAAAAAGCUGAGGUCUAAAUACUGAACCUGGGGAAUAAUGACGUGUUUGUGUGUACCACCAUGUCACAAGUUUCUUCCAAUUCAGCCAUUGGAAGAAGCUUAGCUACUUUCCUCUUUUCACUUAAAAAGUGAUCGCCUUGAUAUAUAUCUGAUUAGAAAUGUAUGGCCAAUGCACUGCAGGGAUUUGGUGGGAACAGUAUGGUGAUGCUGCUCCCAUGUUGCAACGGGUUGCCAUACGAAUACUUAGCCAGGUCUGUAGCAUUUUUACUUUUGAGCGGAACUGGAGUACAUUCAAGCAACUUCAUUCGGAGAAGCGCAAUAAAAUUGAUAAGGAAACAUUGAAUGACCUUGUAUAUAUACAUUACAAUCUCAAGCUAUCUAGAUCUCUUGCAUCAAGGCCUUUGGAAGCAGAUCCCAUUCAACUUGAUGACAUAGAUAUGACUUCUGAGUGGGUGGAGGAGUCUGAGAACCCUAGCCCCACUCAGUGGCUGGAUAGGUUUGGUUCUGCAUUGGAUGGGAAUGACUUGAACACGAGACAGUUUAGUGCUGCUAUAUUUGGUGGUGACCACAUCUUUGGUUUGUGAUCCUGCUUCUCAGGUGACUCUUGGUUAACAAAAUCGUGUUGUUAAACCAGCAGUUGUUAUUGUAGACUGAUGUAGAUGAUCUAUGCAAUGUAGCUUCCCUAUGCGCCAUCUGGCGUCCUUGCAUAGUGCACCGUUUUAUUGGAUAUAUUCUUAAUUUUUAUUGUCUUUUCGUGUUUGUUAUGACUUAUGAUUCAAUAUUUGUACUAUUGGCUUAACAUAAAUCAAUUUAGUAAAUAUGCUAUCAAAAAAUAGAGAUACAUAAUGAAUAUACGAGAAUCUUCAGUAUUCCUCCCAUUUAGUUUCAUCUUUGCUCGUGCAAUGAAGCUAUCACACAUCUCGGAUAAUCAGAUGCAUACCAGCCUAUCCUACCCUGUUGGAGUAUGCAUUCAACGUUUUGUCCUUUAUUAGGUAACCAUCGUUUGUUCAAGGUACUCUCCCACUCUUAAGAGAGAACGUACCCUUCUGUAUUAAAUUAAGGAGUUUAAAACCUUUCCCUCUAAUCUUGAAUCUUUUCUGAUCAUUUUGUUCAAAAGAUUAUGAGAUAUCUUCUUACGUAUUUGACUUAUCCAACGGCUUUGGCCUCCUUUAGAUACUCUAAUUUGAGCAAGUUUCGUACUUAAGCUGGGGAGUUGCUGCUAAGAAUGCUGUGCUAUAUUUGUUCUUGAUGACAUGUGAUGGCAUGCAAUAUCCAAGCAACAUCUGGAUGGAGAACCUUUACACAUCCAGGGUCUGGAGAAUAGUGGAAUUUGGCAAUGAGGGGCCUAUUACAAAAUUUGUCUUCCGUGAGUGCAAUUCAGAAACUUAUAAAUUAUAAUGCGAAUUAUACAGAGGCAAGUAAUUCAUUUUUUUGUUACUUUACAGUGAAUUUUAUAGUAUAUUCCAAACAUCUCUCUUUUCACUUUCCUCAACAACCUAAAUGUUUGACAACCCAACAAAGUAUAGCACAACCACAACUAGGAUGAACUGUUAAGAAAGUGUGCCAAUGCCUUGUCUGUGUCAUUGUCAUACAUGAGCAGAGCUUCUGC